Molecule: ribosomal RNA, 253 nt
Filed under: uncultured bacterium
Lineage: Bacteria
Description: partial 16S ribosomal RNA
Rfam family: Bacterial small subunit ribosomal RNA
Source: RNAcentral
UACGUAGGGGGCAAGCGUUGUCCGGAUUUAUUGGGCGUAAAGCGCGCGUAGGCGGCGCGGUAUGUCGUGCGUGAAAUCUUCCGGCUUAACUGGGAGGGGCCGUGCGAAACUGCCGGGCUUGAGGUCGGAAGGGGAAAGUGGAAUUCCGGGUGUAGUGGUGGAAUACGUAGAUAUCCGGAGGAACACCAGCGGCGAAGGCGGCUUUCUGGUCCGAUACUGACGCUGAGGUGCGAAAGCGUGGGGAGCGAUCCGG